AAGUCGUAACAAGGUUUCCGUAGGUGAACCUGCGGAAGGAUCAUUAACACUCUUAUGAAAUUUAUCAACCUUCAUAUACCAUGCCACGCGAACUGUUGCAUCCCUCUCCCCCAAUCCCUAGCGCGAACGGCGGCAGUCAUGGCGGAGGCCUUAAUGAGUACUUGUAUUCAUUAACGCUUUCGGCUGUACGACGACAGUCUAGGUCAGGGCGAGGCAGGUCGUGCGCUUCGUCACCCCCAUUGGCGAAGUUGCUAUUAUAACAUUAUCAUUUCUUUACCCCUGCUAUUAUGAACUGACUGUUGAAUGGACUAUAUCGUAUUGCACUUCUUAAAGGAGUGUCAGUAUGGUAUGGCUCAUCGAUAUUCGUUAUCGAAUCAACAAUGGAAAACACAACUCUUACCAGCGGAUAUCUCGGUUCCC
This 420-nucleotide unclassified non-coding RNA is filed under the name fungal sp. Its description in RNAcentral is "partial internal transcribed spacer region". The stretch from base 1 to 46 matches the Rfam family "Eukaryotic small subunit ribosomal RNA", at positions 1786 to 1831 of the family's 1831-position model. Lineage: Eukaryota; Fungi. The record is from RNAcentral.